This 1041-nucleotide unclassified non-coding RNA is filed under the name Hevea brasiliensis (rubber tree). The record is from RNAcentral. Lineage: Eukaryota; Viridiplantae; Streptophyta; Magnoliopsida; Malpighiales; Euphorbiaceae.
GAAACUUUAGAUCUCAUUUCUUGUUGUACAAUUCUCGUGAAUCCUUCGUCUUCAUCGUAAAAAUGGGCAGAACUUUCUUCGUCGGCGGUAACUGGAAAUGCAAUGGAACCAGUGAAGAGAUCAAGAAGAUUGUAGCGACACUCAAUGCUGGUCAAGUGCCAUCACAAGAUGUUGUUGAGGUUGUUGUGAGCCCUCCAUUUGUAUUUCUUCCUCUGGUCAAGAGUGAGCUGCGAUCUGAUUUUCAUGUUGCUGCCCAAAAUUGUUGGGUUAAGAAUGGCGGUGCUUUCACCGGUGAAGUUAGUGCUAAUAUGCUUGUUAAUCUGAGCAUUCCAUGGGUUAUUUUGGGUCAUUCUGAAAGAAGAGCCAUUUUAGGUGAAUCAAAUGAGUUUGUUGGAGACAAGGUAGCAUAUGCUCUUUCUCAAGGUUUGAAGGUAAUUGCAUGUGUUGGGGAGACUCUUGAGCAAAGAGAAUCAGGAUCCACCAUGGCUGUUGUUGCAGCACAAACAAAGGCUAUUGCAGACCGAGUAAAAGAUUGGUCAAAUGUGGUGAUAGCUUAUGAGCCUGUUUGGGCUAUUGGUACUGGAAAGGUUGCAACCCCUGCACAAGCCCAGGAAGUACAUGCUGAAUUGAGGAAAUGGCUUCAAGCAAAUGUUAGCGCUGAAGUUGCUGCUUCAACCAGGAUCAUCUAUGGAGGAUCUGUAAGCGGUGCCAACUGCAAGGAGUUGGCUGGACAGCCAGAUGUUGACGGUUUUCUUGUAGGUGGAGCUUCGUUGAAGCCGGAGUUCAUUGACAUCAUCAAGGCUGCUGAGGUGAAGAAAAGCGCCUAAGGUCUUGCACGCUAUUGGAAUUUUGCAGUUUUUGAUCUAGGACUUCCAAUGCAGUAGACUUGUAUCAAGUCAAUGUCUUGUGUACUCUUUAUUGCAGUUUGAAAUUUACGUAACAUGUACAAUAAAAUUGACAAACAUUGCACUACCCUACUUCUUUUUUGGCUGCAACAAUAUUGUUUAAUAAAAUUAAAAUGUGCAUCUAAUGACAUACCCA